CAAUAGCGUAUAUUUAAGUUGUUGCAGUUAAAAAGCUCGUAGUCGGAUUUUGGCUGAGAGCGAUCGGUCCGCCGUUAGGUGUGCACUGAUUGGUCUCAGCUUCCUGGUGAGGAGGUGUGCUUCACGGCCACUUAGUCACCGUGGUUACUUUGAAAAAAUUAGAGUGUUCAAAGCGGGCUUACGCUUGAAUAUAUUAGCAUGGAAUAACACCAUAGGACUCCUGUCCUAUUUCGUUGGUCUCGGGACGGGAGUAAUGAUUAAGAGGAACAGUUGGGGGCAUUCGUAUUUCAUUGUCAGAGGUGAAAUUCUUGGAUUUAUGAAAGACGAACUUCUGCGAAAGCAUUUGCCAAGGAUGUUUUCAUUGA
RNAcentral lists this ribosomal RNA (365 nucleotides) under uncultured eukaryote. Its description in RNAcentral is "partial 18S ribosomal RNA". It matches the Rfam family "Eukaryotic small subunit ribosomal RNA", at positions 592 to 976 of the family's 1831-position model. The record is from RNAcentral.